UCUCCGUAGGUGAACCUGCGGAGGGAUCAUUACAGAGUUCAUGCCCUACCGGGUAGAUCUCCCACCCUAUGUUAUUAUUACUUUGCUGCUUUGGCGGGCCGUUAGGCUCCGGCCCGACUACCGGCCCCGGCUGGUAAGCGCCCGCCAGAGGACCCAAAACCCUGAAUAUUAGUGUCGUCUGAGUACUAUAUAAUAGUUAAAACUUUCAACAACGGAUCUCUUGGUUCUGGCAUCGAUGAAGAGCGCAGC
Molecule: unclassified non-coding RNA, 249 nt
Filed under: plant metagenome
Description: partial contains small subunit ribosomal RNA, internal transcribed spacer 1, and 5.8S ribosomal RNA
Rfam family: 5.8S ribosomal RNA (bases 201-249)
Source: RNAcentral